Molecule: unclassified non-coding RNA, 421 nt
Filed under: Hevea brasiliensis (rubber tree)
Lineage: Eukaryota; Viridiplantae; Streptophyta; Magnoliopsida; Malpighiales; Euphorbiaceae
Source: RNAcentral
UGAAAUGAAUCGAUUUUGGAUUGCCAAAUGGCUGCUUCUUUGUUCUUUGCGGGUAGAGAAGGGAAAUCAAUCACCAAGGGAAACUUCUUUCUUUUGUUUCCAAGAACAAAAACAAAAAUCAACAAGAACAAAGUAUUGGGUUAUUGAUAAAAGUUAGCUUUCUUUUCUUCUUCUUAUUCUUCUCCUCCUCCUUUUUCUUGUUCUCCUAUUAUGGGAUCUAUCCAUCCAAUCUUUUUUCUCUCUUUUUUUAUCUCUCACAAGGUAUAUGUGUAUGUGUAAGUAUCUCUGUGAAACACACAAAAAGCUGAAAGCUAGAAAAGAAUUCAACGUGAAAAGGAAAGAUCAGAUCCCCUCCUUCACGAUCACAACAGCCAACCAAUUUCUCUCUCUAUCUCUCCUCUGUUUCUCUCUUUCUUUCCUC